This 1128-nucleotide ribosomal RNA is filed under the name uncultured Halomonas sp. RNAcentral describes it as "bacterial SSU rRNA". It matches the Rfam family "Bacterial small subunit ribosomal RNA", at positions 234 to 1353 of the family's 1533-position model. The record is from RNAcentral. Lineage: Bacteria; Pseudomonadati; Pseudomonadota; Gammaproteobacteria; Oceanospirillales; Halomonadaceae.
UGUCGGAUUAGCUGGUUGGUGAGGUAAAGGCUCACCAAGGCGACGAUCCGUAGCUGGUCUGAGAGGAUGAUCAGCCACAUCGGGACUGAGACACGGCCCGAACUNCUACGGGAGGCAGCAGUGGGGAAUAUUGGACAAUGGGGGGAACCCUGAUCCAGCCAUGCCGCGUGUGUGAAGAAGGCCCUCGGGUUGUAAAGCACUUCUCAGUGAGGAAGAACGCCUGGUGGUUAAUACCCAUCAGGAAAGACAUCACUCACAGAAGAAGCACCGGCUAACUCCGUGCCAGCAGCCGCGGUAAUACGGAGGGUGCAAGCGUUAAUCGGAAUUACUGGGCGUAAAGCGCGCGUAGGUGGCUUGAUAAGCCGGUUGUGAAAGCCCCGGGCUCAACCUGGGAACGGCAUCCGGAACUGUCAAGCUAGAGUGCAGGAGAGGAAGGUAGAAUUCCCGGUGUAGCGGUGAAAUGCGUAGAGAUCGGGAGGAAUACCAGUGGCGAAGGCGGCCUUCUGGACUGACACUGACACUGAGGUGCGAAAGCGUGGGUAGCAAACAGGAUUAGAUACCCUGGUAGUCCACGCCGUAAACGAUGUCGACCAGCCGUUGGGUGCCUAGCGCACUUUGUGGCGAAGUUAACGCGAUAAGUCGACCGCCUGGGGAGUACGGCCGCAAGGUUAAAACUCAAAUGAAUUGACGGGGGCCCGCACAAGCGGUGGAGCAUGUGGUUUAAUUCGAUGCAACGCGAAGAACCUUACCUACUCUUGACAUCCUGCGAAUUUGGUAGAGAUACCUUAGUGCCUUCGGGAACGCAGAGACAGGUGCUGCAUGGCUGUCGUCAGCUCGUGUUGUGAAAUGUUGGGUUAAGUCCCGUAACGAGCGCAACCCUUGUCCUUAUUUGCCAGCGCGUAAUGGCGGGAACUCUAAGGAGACUGCCGGUGACAAACCGGAGGAAGGUGGGGACGACGUCAAGUCAUCAUGGCCCUUACGAGUAGGGCUACACACGUGCUACAAUGGUCGGUACAAAGGGUUGCCAACUCGCGAGAGUGAGCCAAUCCCGAAAAGCCGAUCUCAGUCCGGAUCGGAGUCUGCAACUCGACUCCGUGAAGUCGGAAUCGCUAGUAAUCGUGGAUCAGA